Folsomia candida is the source of this 2006-nucleotide RNA transcript. RefSeq lists it as uncharacterized. The record is from RefSeq and is a predicted model, not a curated record. The transcript has 11 exons. NCBI's taxonomy places the organism in Eukaryota, Metazoa, Arthropoda, Collembola, Entomobryomorpha, Isotomidae.
UGCUUACAAGGCUGGCUUAACUUCAACCAGACGGAAUUUUGCAUGGUCCAUAAACAUUUUCGAAUUUCGUCACGCAAAUUGUGCAAAUUGUGUUGUUUCAAUUGUGUCUAGAAUUAGGAUUGUGGUUUUCCCGAAGGAACAAAAAAUGUCCGCGUUGAAUAUAGUUUCCGCCACGAAAUUAUUUUCUAACAAAGUGGUCUUGCGCGGAGUGGAUAUCAAGGUCGAAAAAGGAACAAUGUCAGCCCCACAGUGAAAUCUUUUCCUUCUUGUGCUCAAGUCAAAAUUAUUAACAAUUUUCAGCUUGAUUCAAUUAAUUUAUAAGAAUGCACAUAUUUAUUUAAAUAGAAAUACAUGAAAUUAUUGAAAUAUGAUUUAUUAAUGUAAUUUUUUCUCUUGCGCAUGUGCAGAUAUGCCCUUCUUGGUCCAAGCGGAUGUGGGAAAACUACUUUGGUAUCUUGCAUUAUGGGAAUUCAGCAGUUAAACGAGGGCAGGAUAGAAAUCUUUGGGAAAAAUUUGACCAAUUUUAAAAACGGAAUGCCUGGAAGUUUGAUUGGCUACAUGCCACAGGAAACGUCUCUCUACGAAUCGUUCACAAUUAUGGAAACAUUCGCCUACUACGGAACACUGCACGGUGUACCUUCACACGAAAUUUUAAGCAGAGUGGAAACUUUGAGAAAUGUCAUGAAUUUACCCAAUGUUAAGCGUAAUAUUAAACAAAUCAGUGGUGGAGAACAACUCCAACCGUGUCUCACUCUGCGUCGCGUUACUGCAUGACCCUCAAAUUCUUCUGUUGGACGAGCCAACGACCGGAAUUGAUCCCCUUUUAUGAGAAAGGAUCUGGGAUUACUUGAGACUUCUUGUUGAAUCCAAAGGAACCACGGUUUUCGUCACGACGCAUUACGUCCAUGAAACGAGACAAUGCACGCAGAUUGGUUAUCUACGAGAUGGCUCCAUGUUGGUGCAAGGCUCUCCUAAAGCUUUGCUGGAAAAAUACGGGCAAACUUGUACCUUAAAUACUACAAAUUUGGAUGAUGUAAUUCUUCAUUUAUGCAAAAUUCCUCGUUCUCUACGAACAACACCUAGAGAAUUGACCACUAAAAUUUUAGCAUUCUCCGAAAUAAAAAUGGAGCCUGAAUUUGACGUCCAAGUUGUGUCCUUUAGGAAUGUUAGAGACGAGUCCAUUAACAUUAAUGGUGAGCCCAUAAAGUGCCCUAAACUUGAGGCCAGAUUACUAUCCGGGACAUCCGCAGCUAUGAAGACUUACUGCUCGCAACUUAAGGCACUUACAACUCGAAAUUCAAUUAUUUACACCCGAUUUAUUUCGUAAGUUGAAUAAUUUGCUAAUUUUUGCUAAUUACACUCGCAGAUUGCCACUCAUCCAACUGGUUUUAUUAUUAAUAAACAUAUCCAUUACAUUGCUCGCUGUCGGACAUGACCCAAAAGGUCUCCAAUUGGGAGCAACAAUGGACAACGGACAAGUCCACUGCGACACAAAUCUUGCCCAUCCAAUUUCUUCCGGCAGCAACGCAACACGCCCAGAAAUAGAUUACACGUGUCGAAUAUUGGGCAUUGUUGAAAAAUUAGGAGUUAACUGGGUGCCCUUUAGUACCGAAUUGGAUGCACUACAAGCUAUCAGAGCUGGUCGUAUAGCGGGUUAUAUAAAAUUCCCUAAAAAUUUUACCCAAAAUAUGAUGAAACUAUUGGCCUGGAAUAUUCGUGCGGACGAAGAAACUUUAAAUAGAUCCGUGAUUUCGAUACGAUUAGAUAAUUCUGAAUACAUGAACGCGUACUUUCUUACCAAAUCGUUAUAUGAAUCCGUUCAGAAGUUUCUACUAUUAAAUGCGAACUAAUAUGAUAUGGACGAACGAAUAGUGACACUACCGCUACAGUUCCGCCCAAUCUAUGGAAACUUGUUUCAUACGUGGAACACAUUCCUACUUCCGGCAGAAGUGCUUCUAAUGUGGACCUUCUUAUCGACGACGAUGGGUUUUUUCACGUGAUGGAUC